Molecule: small RNA, 583 nt
Filed under: Pongo abelii (Sumatran orangutan)
Lineage: Eukaryota; Metazoa; Chordata; Mammalia; Primates; Hominidae
Description: processed transcript
Source: RNAcentral
CCGGGGCGGCGGUUGCAUCAGAUUCUAGGAAGUGUCUGUAGCCGCAGCUGCGGGUCCGGGAUUCCCAGCCAUGGCAGAUUCCUCCGGGCAGCAGGCUCCUGACUACAGGUCCAUUCUGAGCAUUAGUGACGAGGCAGCCAGGGCACAAGCCCUGAACGAGCACCUCAGCACGCGUAGCUAUGUCCAGGGGUACUCACUGUCCCAGGCAGACGUGGACGCGUUCAGGCAGCUCUCGGCCCCGCCGGCUGACCCCCAGCUCUUCCACGUGGUUCGGUGGUUCAGGCACAUAGAAGCGCUCCUGGGUAGCCCCUGUGGCAAAGGCCAGCCCUGCAGGCUCCAAGCAAGCAAAGGCCGGCGCGUGCAGCCCCAGUGGUCCCCUCCUGCUGGGACCCAGCCAUGCAGACUCCACCUUUACAACAGCCUCACCAGGAACAAGGAAGUGUUCAUACCUCAAGAUGGGAAAAAGGUGACGUGGUAUUGCUGUGGGCCAACCGUCUAUGACGCAUCUCACAUGGGGCACGCCAGCUCUCGUGGGGUCCCCAGAUGCUGAGUUCCCGUGACACUCAGACCUGACAGGCCUGAC